RNAcentral lists this long non-coding RNA (870 nucleotides) under Homo sapiens (human). Its description in RNAcentral is "HSALNT0130107". Lineage: Eukaryota; Metazoa; Chordata; Mammalia; Primates; Hominidae. The record is from RNAcentral.
GAAAGCAAGGCACUGGUCAUCCUCAAAAAUGAUUUUGGCUGGGAUUUCCUUGCAGAUGAUCUUCCCGAAGACAGUGUUGCCACCAGGCCGAGCGACCUGAGCCUUGGCGAUCUCACCUGCCAUCUCUGCCUGUCUCCCACACAGCAGGCAGGGUAGAGGCUCAGAAGGAGGGAGGAACCCACAGAUUCUAUUUUCUUUGUUAAGAAAGUAAUCCUUUCUGCUCAUACCAAUCCCAUAGAUGUCUAUCCUUAUUUUCUGCCUGCAGAAAAGGUGGGUAUCAUCACAGAAUGUUUAGUCUCUCAAUUCAUCACACAUUUGUAAUUUUUUGGAGAGAUUAUAGGCCUUGAGGUUUGUAGGAUUGUUGUUAGAGCAGGUGUUUUGUUUUUUUUUUUUUUUAGCUACAUUGGUGUAUAAUUGACAACUAGAAAUUAUACAUAUUUAAUUACUACUUGAGACCGUGAUUACAGCAGUUACUACUGUUACCACUUGAAACCAUCAUUAUGACCGAACAAAGGGACGAAUGUAGAAAUGAAAACUUAAGACAAAAGAAACUGUUUUAAGGAAAGGCAACAUGAAGAAGAAGAGAGCUCCCUGCUUCUAGUGAGCAAAGGCAGCUCCCCUGCCGAGCUUCUCAGCCCUUCAUAUUUACUGGGUAACAAGAACAAGAAGGAGGUAACGAUUGGUCAGCUGCUGAAUUGAUCACAGGUUCAUAUUGUUACUGACAAGCUUCAAUUGUACCUAAUCAUAAGAAACAUUUGUGCGGCCUCCAACAAUGUACAACUUGAUGUGUUGAUAUAUGUGUACAUUGUGAAUGAUCAUCACAAUCAAGCCGGUUAACAUAUCCAUCACCUCACAUAGUUGCUUUGGGGG